Non-coding RNA from Pseudonaja textilis, 102 nucleotides. The record is from RefSeq and is a predicted model, not a curated record. NCBI's taxonomy places the organism in Eukaryota, Metazoa, Chordata, Lepidosauria, Squamata, Elapidae.
AUUUUGAUUAUGUGACCAUGGGGAUACUGCAAUGCUCACAAGGGUGAAAAACGUUCAUAACUCGCUUUUUUCACUGCCAUUAUAACUUCGAACGGUCACUAA